GCGUUGUUCGGAAUUACUGGGCGUAAAGCGCACGUAGGCGGACAUUUAAGUCAGGGGUGAAAUCCCAGGGCUCAACCCUGGAACUGCCUUUGAUACUGGGUGUCUUGAGUACGAGAGAGGUGAGUGGAAUUCCGAGUGUAGAGGUGAAAUUCGUAGAUAUUCGGAAGAACACCAGUGGCGAAGGCGGCUCACUGGCUCGUAACUGACGCUGAGGUGCGAAAGCGUG
RNAcentral lists this ribosomal RNA (226 nucleotides) under uncultured bacterium. RNAcentral describes it as "partial 16S ribosomal RNA". It matches the Rfam family "Bacterial small subunit ribosomal RNA", at positions 538 to 763 of the family's 1533-position model. The record is from RNAcentral.